CUACUACUCUCACCCAAGCCUCCUUUGCACUGACUUUAUUACAAAAACACCCCACCUCCGGGUGCCAUUUCUCCAAGAAUAAGGCAUUGUCUUUCACCCUUCUCAUCCCUCUUUCAAGAACACGCUCGGCUUCACUUAACAGUUCAAACUCAAAAAGCAAAAGACCUCUUCCCAACACAGAUAUGUUCAGUUUACCUCUGAGAAGCCAGACUUGACCAGCCCAAAAACCCCCACAAACACUCUCCAUUCUCUCAGGUCAGUGAAGAGCAGGGUUUCGUAUCUGAUUUCACCGAAUUUUUUUCCAAUCUAUUAUCUUUUUCUUUUAUUUAUUUUCCUUUUGGUUUUCAAGACUGAUUUACUGAAAUGAAGGUGUUUCUUCUGGGAUUGAUUGGAGAAUUUGGGACAUUGUUGGCUUUUGUUUUUGUUAAAUUUUGCGUUUUUGGAUUUGAAUUGGUUUAUUUGCUUUAGAAAGUGUAAUUAAACAAGGAUGGCAUAUAGAAAAUGAUUAUGGAUUUUUGA
This 519-nucleotide long non-coding RNA is filed under the name Vitis vinifera (wine grape). Its description in RNAcentral is "long non-coding RNA (VVIN_LNC005302)". Lineage: Eukaryota; Viridiplantae; Streptophyta; Magnoliopsida; Vitales; Vitaceae. The record is from RNAcentral.